AAUGAAGUGCCUGAUUAAAGGAUUACUAUGAUAGAGUAAAUAAUGUAAACAAUUUACCUUUAUUA
RNAcentral lists this transfer RNA (65 nucleotides) under Ruidocollaris obscura. RNAcentral describes it as "tRNA-Ile". The record is from RNAcentral. Lineage: Eukaryota; Metazoa; Arthropoda; Insecta; Orthoptera; Tettigoniidae.